CUUAGUAGUAGAUGUCUAGUGUACAUUUACGUCUCCUUCAGCAGCAGCCAUGUUCUACCGUUCUUUUUUGCUAGUUCUCCUGGGGCUCUCCUGCCUUCAGUCCUUCACCAUGGCACAUAAUGCAAAUGGCCCAAAAUUGUGCUGUUUUGAGUUUCAUAAAAGCCCGGUGCCUGCAGCGAUCUUUGCAACUGUUGAAGAAACGAGAUUCGACUGUACACUUCCUGGAGUCAUUCUUACAACAAAAAGAGGAUAUCGGUUUU
Long non-coding RNA from Silurus meridionalis, 260 nucleotides. RefSeq lists it as uncharacterized. The record is from RefSeq and is a predicted model, not a curated record. Lineage: Eukaryota; Metazoa; Chordata; Actinopteri; Siluriformes; Siluridae. The transcript has 3 exons.